RNAcentral lists this ribosomal RNA (332 nucleotides) under uncultured bacterium. Its description in RNAcentral is "bacterial SSU rRNA". It matches the Rfam family "Bacterial small subunit ribosomal RNA", at positions 150 to 507 of the family's 1533-position model. The record is from RNAcentral.
ACCGAAAGGUGGUCUAAUACUUCAUAAUAUCCAUCUCGUAUGGAUUAAAGCUUUAUGCGCUUUGGGAGGGGCCUGCGUAACAUUAGCUUGUUGGUGAGGGUAAAAAGCUCACCAAGGCUUCGAUGUUUAACUGGUUUGAGAGGAUGACCAGUCACACUGGGACUGAGAUACGGCCCAGACUCCUACGGGAGGCAGCAGUAAGGAAUCUUCCACAAUGGGGCAACCCUGAUGGAGCAAUACCGCGUGCAGGAUGAAGCGUUUCGGCGUGUAAACUGCUUUUAUCACCGAAGAUUAUGACUGUAGGUGAAGAAUAAGGACCGGCUAACUACGUG